Molecule: long non-coding RNA, 803 nt
Filed under: Zostera marina
Lineage: Eukaryota; Viridiplantae; Streptophyta; Magnoliopsida; Alismatales; Zosteraceae
Description: long non-coding RNA (ZMAR_LNC005947)
Source: RNAcentral
UUAUAAAAUAAAAAAAUAAUUGUUGAAUUUGGUGGAUUCCAAGGCUAAUUGACAAUAUGAGCAAAUGACUUGUAAUCCUUCCACCGUUGAGAGAGAGAGGUAAUCGCUGCUCUGUGAAACCAGCCUCACGCAUUACCCUCAAGUUUAGGGAGAAUAUGAUUCAAGCGUUAGCUUGAAACAUAACAUCCACUGCCCAACUUGGAAUCGGGCAAAUUAAAGCUAGCUCAUAAUGUAAACCUUGAAUUCAAUACCAAAUUAUUCAAAUACCUUAAUACUCCACUUGGUAAGAAGCCCACGUUACCGAGCUCAGCGAUUGAUUUGUAGAUUUCUUGUAUAUAAACAACAAAGCUUUUUUCAAUUUCUUUUGAUGUGGGAUUAUUUCUUAUAGUGGUAUUUUGUUAUAUAAGUUUAAAAAAAAAAUCUUCAGAUGGGGUGAUAUGGUCAGAGAAACCAAUUUUCCUAUUUUAGGGUCAUUUUGUAUAUUUGCAAUUUAAAUUGUUGAAUUGAAAAAUAAACAAAGAAUAUAGAUUCUAUUUAUAAAAUAAAAAAUAUUUGUUGAAUUUGGUGGAUUCCAAGGCUAAUUGACUAUAUGAGCAAAUGACUUGUAAUCCUUCCACCGUUGAGAGUGAGAGGUAAUCGCUGCUCUGUGAAACCAGCCUCACGCAUUACCCUCAAGUUUAGGGAGAAUAUGAUUCAAGCGUUAGCCUGAAACAUAACAUCCACUGCUCAACUUGGAAACGGGCAAAUCAAAGCUAGCUCAUAAUGUCAACCUUGAAUUCAAUCCCAAAUUAUUCAAAUACCUU